Molecule: ribosomal RNA, 253 nt
Filed under: uncultured bacterium
Lineage: Bacteria
Description: partial 16S ribosomal RNA
Rfam family: Bacterial small subunit ribosomal RNA
Source: RNAcentral
UACGGGGGGGGCAAGCGUUGUUCGGAAUUACUGGGCGUAAAGGGCUCGUAGGCGGCCAACUAAGUCGGAUGUGAAAUCCCCAGGCUUAACCUGGGAACUGCAUCCGAUACUGGUUGGCUUGAAUCCGGGAGAGGGAUGCAGAAUUCCAGGUGUAGCGGUGAAAUGCAUAGAUAUCUGGAGGAAUACCGGUGGCGAAGGCGGCAUCCUGGACCGGCAUUGACGCUGAUGAGCGAAAGCUAGGGGAGCAAACGGG